CAGAGGACAGUGGCGGACGGGUGAGUAACGCGUGAGCAACCUGCCUUUCAGAGGGGGACAACAGUUGGAAACGACUGCUAAUACCGCAUGAUACAUUUGGGUGGCAUCAUCUGAAUGUCAAAGAUUUAUCGCUGAAAGAUGGCCUCGCGUCUGAUUAGCUAGAUGGUGAGGUAACGGCCCACCAUGGCGACGAUCAGUAGCCGGACUGAGAGGUUGAACGGCCACAUUGGAACUGAGACACGGUCCAAACUCC
This 253-nucleotide ribosomal RNA is filed under the name uncultured Oscillospiraceae bacterium. Its description in RNAcentral is "partial 16S ribosomal RNA". It matches the Rfam family "Bacterial small subunit ribosomal RNA", at positions 86 to 339 of the family's 1533-position model. The record is from RNAcentral. Lineage: Bacteria; Bacillati; Bacillota; Clostridia; Eubacteriales; Oscillospiraceae.